This 497-nucleotide ribosomal RNA is filed under the name uncultured bacterium. RNAcentral's name for it is "partial 16S ribosomal RNA". It matches the Rfam family "Bacterial small subunit ribosomal RNA", at positions 28 to 507 of the family's 1533-position model. The record is from RNAcentral.
GAUGAACGCUGGCGGCGUGCCUAAUACAUGCAAGUCGAGCGAACAGACGAGGAGCUUGCUCCUCUGACGUUAGCGGCGGACGGGUGAGUAACACGUGGAUAACCUACCUAUAAGACUGGGAUAACUUCGGGAAACCGGAGCUAAUACCGGAUAAUAUAUUGAACCGCAUGGUUCAAUAGUGAAAGACGGUUUUGCUGUCACUUAUAGAUGGAUCCGCGCCGCAUUAGCUAGUUGGUAAGGUAACGGCUUACCAAGGCAACGAUGCGUAGCCGACCUGAGAGGGUGAUCGGCCACCCUGGAACUGAGACACGGUCCAGGCUCCUACGGGAGGCAGCAGUAGGGAAUCUUCCGCAAUGGGCGAAAGCUUGACGGAGCAACGCCGCGUGAGUGAUGAAGGUCUUCGGAUCGUAAAACUCUGUUAUUAGGGAAGAACAAAUGUGUAAGUAACUAUGCACGUCUUGACGGUACCUAAUCAGAAAGCCACGGCUAACUACGUG